UGCGAUAAGCGUCGGUAAGGUGAUAUGAACCGUUAUAACCGGCGAUUUCCGAAUGGGGAAACCCAGUGUGAUUCGUCACACUAUCAUUAACUGAAUCCAUAGGUUAAUGAGGCGAACCGGGGGAACUGAAACAUCUAAGUACCCCGAGGAAAAGAAAUCAACCGAGAUUCCCCCAGUAGCGGCGAGCGAACGGGGAGGAGCCCAGAGCCUGAAUCAGUGUGUGUGUUAGUGGAAGCGUCUGGAAAGGCGCGCGAUACAGGGUGACAGCCCCGUACACAAAAAUGCACAUGCUGUGAGCUCGAUGAGUAGGGCGGGACACGUGGUAUCCUGUCUGAAUAUGGGGGGACCAUCCUCCAAGGCUAAAUACUCCUGACUGACCGAUAGUGAACCAGUACCGUGAGGGAAAGGCGAAAAGAACCCCGGCGAGGGGAGUGAAAAAGAACCUGAAACCGUGUACGUACAAGCAGUGGGAGCACAGAGCAAUCUGUGUGACUGCGUACCUUUUGUAUAAUGGGUCAGCGACUUAUAUUCUGUAGCAAGGUUAACCGAAUAGGGGAGCCGAAGGGAAACCGAGUCUUAACUGGGCGUUAAGUUGCAGGGUAUAGACCCGAAACCCGGUGAUCUAGCCAUGGGCAGGUUGAAGGUUGGGUAACACUAACUGGAGGACCGAACCGACUAAUGUUGAAAAAUUAGCGGAUGACUUGUGGCUGGGGGUGAAAGGCCAAUCAAACCGGGAGAUAGCUGGUUCUCCCCGAAAGCUAUUUAGGUAGCGCCUCGUGAAUUCAUCUCCGGGGGUAGAGCACUGUUUCGGCAAGGGGGUCAUCCCGACUUACCAACCCGAUGCAAACUGCGAAUACCGGAGAAUGUUAUCACGGGAGACACACGGCGGGUGCUAACGUCCGUCGUGAAGAGGGAAACAACCCAGACCGCCAGCUAAGGUCCCAAAGUCAUGGUUAAGUGGGAAACGAUGUGGGAAGGCCCAGACAGCCAGGAUGUUGGCUUAGAAGCAGCCAUCAUUUAAAGAAAGCGUAAUAGCUCACUGGUCGAGUCGGCCUGCGCGGAAGAUGUAACGGGGCUAAACCAUGCACCGAAGCUGCGGCAGCGACGCUUAUGCGUUGUUGGGUAGGGGAGCGUUCUGUAAGCCUGCGAAGGUGUGCUGUGAGGCAUGCUGGAGGUAUCAGAAGUGCGAAUGCUGACAUAAGUAACGAUAAAGCGGGUGAAAAGCCCGCUCGCCGGAAGACCAAGGGUUCCUGUCCAACGUUAAUCGGGGCAGGGUGAGUCGACCCCUAAGGCGAGGCCGAAAGGCGUAGUCGAUGGGAAACAGGUUAAUAUUCCUGUACUUGGUGUUACUGCGAAGGGGGGACGGAGAAGGCUAUGUUGGCCGGGCGACGGUUGUCCCGGUUUAAGCGUGUAGGCUGGUUUUCCAGGCAAAUCCGGAAAAUCAAGGCUGAGGCGUGAUGACGAGGCACUACGGUGCUGAAGCAACAAAUGCCAUGCUUCCAGGAAAAGCCUCUAAGCAUCAGGUAACAUCAAAUCGUACCCCAAACCGACACAGGUGGUCAGGUAGAGAAUACCAAGGCGCUUGAGAGAACUCGGGUGAAGGAACUAGGCAAAAUGGUGCCGUAACUUCGGGAGAAGGCACGCUGAUAUGUAGGUGAAGCGACUUGCUCGUGGAGCUGAAAUCAGUCGAAGAUACCAGCUGGCUGCAACUGUUUAUUAAAAACACAGCACUGUGCAAACACGAAAGUGGACGUAUACGGUGUGACGCCUGCCCGGUGCCGGAAGGUUAAUUGAUGGGGUCAGCGCAAGCGAAGCUCUUGAUCGAAGCCCCGGUAAACGGCGGCCGUAACUAUAACGGUCCUAAGGUAGCGAAAUUCCUUGUCGGGUAAGUUCCGACCUGCACGAAUGGCGUAAUGAUGGCCAGGCUGUCUCCACCCGAGACUCAGUGAAAUUGAACUCGCUGUGAAGAUGCAGUGUACCCGCGGCAAGACGGAAAGACCCCGUGAACCUUUACUAUAGCUUGACACUGAACAUUGAGCCUUGAUGUGUAGGAUAGGUGGGAGGCUUUGAAGUGUGGACGCCAGUCUGCAUGGAGCCGACCUUGAAAUACCACCCUUUAAUGUUUGAUGUUCUAACGUUGACCCGUAAUCCGGGUUGCGGACAGUGUCUGGUGGGUAGUUUGACUGGGGCGGUCUCCUCCUAAAGAGUAACGGAGGAGCACGAAGGUUGGCUAAUCCUGGUCGGACAUCAGGAGGUUAGUGCAAUGGCAUAAGCCAGCUUGACUGCGAGCGUGACGGCGCGAGCAGGUGCGAAAGCAGGUCAUAGUGAUCCGGUGGUUCUGAAUGGAAGGGCCAUCGCUCAACGGAUAAAAGGUACUCCGGGGAUAACAGGCUGAUACCGCCCAAGAGUUCAUAUCGACGGCGGUGUUUGGCACCUCGAUGUCGGCUCAUCACAUCCUGGGGCUGAAGUAGGUCCCAAGGGUAUGGCUGUUCGCCAUUUAAAGUGGUACGCGAGCUGGGUUUAGAACGUCGUGAGACAGUUCGGUCCCUAUCUGCCGUGGGCGCUGGAGAACUGAGGGGGGCUGCUCCUAGUACGAGAGGACCGGAGUGGACGCAUCACUGGUGUUCGGGUUGUCAUGCCAAUGGCACUGCCCGGUAGCUAAAUGCGGAAGAGAUAAGUGCUGAAAGCAUCUAAGCACGAAACUUGCCCCGAGAUGAGUUCUCCCUGACUCCUUGAGAGUCCUGAAGGAACGUUGAAGACGACGACGUUGAU
Molecule: ribosomal RNA, 2772 nt
Filed under: Escherichia coli
Lineage: Bacteria; Pseudomonadati; Pseudomonadota; Gammaproteobacteria; Enterobacterales; Enterobacteriaceae
Description: partial 23S ribosomal RNA
Rfam family: Bacterial large subunit ribosomal RNA
Source: RNAcentral